This 21-nucleotide non-coding RNA is filed under the name Caenorhabditis elegans. Lineage: Eukaryota; Metazoa; Nematoda; Chromadorea; Rhabditida; Rhabditidae. The record is from RNAcentral.
UGAUUUUUGGGUAGAAAGGAA